Molecule: long non-coding RNA, 23983 nt
Filed under: Actinidia chinensis (golden kiwifruit)
Lineage: Eukaryota; Viridiplantae; Streptophyta; Magnoliopsida; Ericales; Actinidiaceae
Description: long non-coding RNA (ACHI_LNC008225)
Source: RNAcentral
UUUGAACUCAAAAAAGAGUGAAAGAGAAAGAAUUUUUCCACCAUGGCUGCAACUAUAUUGUCCAACCAAAAAACGAGUCAAUCACAUUCUAAGCAUUCAAGAUUUAAACUCAGAAGAGAGAGAAAGAGAAAGGGUUUGCCCACAUGGCUACAACUAGAGUUGCCUCUGCUAAGAAACAGAUCAAUCACAUUUUCAACAUCUUAUAUGUGAACUCAAAAGAGAAAUUUGGUAACAUCAAAAAAAGAAUGAAUACAUUCUUAGAAUCAGAUAUUUAAAAUUAAAAGAGAAAGUGAAAGGAUUUGCUUACCAAGGCAGCAACUAUAGUUGCCCCAACCAAGAAAAAGAUCAAUCACAUUCUCAACAUUCGAUAUGAGAACUCAAAUGAGAAAUACUGUAACAUCAAGAAACGGGUCAAUUACAAUCUCAACAUCUGAGAUUUAAAGUUAAAAGAUAAAGAUAAUGGAUUUGCCCACCAUGGCUGCAAGUACAGUUGCCCUGCCAAGAAACGAGUAAAUCACAUUCUCAACAUCUGAUAUGUGAACUCAAAUGAAAAAUAUUGUAACAUCAAGAAAUGAGUCAAUUACAUUCUCAGCAUCGAUGAUUUAAAAUUAAAAGAGAGAGAAAGGAUUUGUCCAUCAUGGCUGCAAUUACAAUUUUUCAACCAACAAACGGGUCAAUCACAUUCUCAGCAUCCAAGAUUUGAACUCAAAAGAGAGAGAAAGAAAAAUGAUUUGAUCACCAUGGCUGCAACUAAUAUUACCCCGACAGAGGAACAAAUAGAUCACACUUUCAACAUCUCAUAUGUGAACUCAAAAAAGAAAUAUUGUAACAUCAAGAAAUGAGUCAAUAACAUUCUCAGCAUUUGAUAUUUAAAAUUAAAAGAGAAAGAGAAAGGAUUUGCCUACCAUGGCUGCAACUAUAGUUGCCCUGCCAAGAAACGGGCCAAUCAUUUUUUAGCAUACGAGAUUUGUACUCAAAAGAGAGAAAAGGAGAAAGGAUUUGUCCACCAUGACUACAACUACAAUUACCCAUGCCAAGAAAUAAAUCAAUCACAUUCUCAACAUCACAUAAGUAAACUCAAAAGAGAAAUAUUAUAACAUAAAGAAACAGGUCAAUCACAUUCUAAGCAUCUGAAAUUUAAAAUUAAAAGAAAAAGAAAAAGGAUUUGCCCACCAUUUGUGCAACUAUAGUUGCCUCGCCAAGAAAUGGGCCUAUCCUGGCUCCAACUAUAGUUACCCCGCCAAGAAACAGAUCAAUCACAUUCUUAGCAUUCGAGAUUUGAACUUAAAGACAUAGAAAAAGAAAGAGUUUGCCCUUCAUACCUGCAAAUAUAGUUACCUCUUCCAGAAACAGAUCAAUUUUAAAUAUUAAGAAGUAGGCCAAUCACAUUCUCAUCACCUGAGAUUUAAAAUUAAAAGAGAAAAGAUUUCCCUCCAUGAUUUAACCAACAGUUGCUUGACCAAGAAACGGGUCAAUCACGAGAACAAGGCUUAGCCCAAGUGGUAAAGGGCGGCCUUACCAGGACUUAGGUCCUAGGUUCGAUUCUCACCACCGCCCCCGGGCACAAGGCGCAGUCGCUUCAGGCAGACGUCAGGUGCACGAGCUAAUACUCGGAGUAUCGCAUUCGAUUCCUAGUAGUUGCGUCACAUAUCCGCGUUUACAUCCUGAGGUGUGAAAGGCUAGCUGCUCAGGGCACAGAGAUUAGUCUGGGUGGGCCCAAAGGCCUGUCUAGGACACUCUGUGGUUAAUAAAAAAAAAAAGAAACGGGUCAAUCACAUUUUCUCAGCAUAUGAGAUAUAAAAUUAAAAUAAAGAAUUUUCCCAACAUGGUUGCAACUAUAGUUGCCUCGCCAAGAAAAAAAACGGAUCAAUCACAUUUUUAGCAUUCAAGAUUUAAACUCGAAAGAGAAUGAGAAAGGAUUUGCCUACCCUGGCUACAACUAUAGUUACCCUACCAAGAAAUAGAUCAAUCACAUUUUUAGCAUUCGAGAUUUUAAACUCAAAAGAGAAAGAAAAAGGGUUUGCACAUUAUGGCUGCAAUUACAGUUAUCUCUGCCAAAAACAGAUCAAUCACAUUCCCAACAUCUCAUAUGUGAACUCAAAAAGAGAAAUUUUGUAAUAUCGAGAAAUAGAUUAAUAACAUUCUUAGAAUUAGAGAUUUAAAAUUAUAAGAGAAAGAGAGAGGAUUUGCAAAUCAUGGCUGCAACUACAGUUGCUUUGCUAAGAGACAGGUCAACCAUAUUCUCAACAUAUGAAAUAUAAAAUUAAUAGAGAGGAUUUUUAGACCAUGGAUGAAAUUAUAGCUGCCCCGUCAAGAAACUGAUUAAUCAAUCACAUUCUCAACAUCUCAUAUGUAAAAUCAAAAGAGAAUUAUUGCAACAUCAAAAAAUAGGUCAAAUCACAUUCUCAGCAUCUGAAAUUUAAAAUUAAAAGAGAAAAAAAAAGAAUUUGUCCACCAUGGCUGCAACUAUAGUUGCCCUGUCAAGAAAUAGGUUAAUCACUUUCUAAACAUUUCACAUGCGAACUCAAAAAGAGAAAUAUUGGAACAUCAAUAAACGGGCCAAUCAUCUUCUCAGCAUUUGAGAUUUAAAAUUAAAAGAGAAAGCGAAAAGAUUUGUCAACCGCGUCUACAACUACAGUUACCCCGCCACAAAAUAGGUCAAUCACAUUCUUAGCAUAUGAGAUUUUAACUAACAUAACACCAAGAUAAAGUUAAAGGAUUAGCCCACCAUGGCUAAAACUACAGCUUCUCCGCCAAGAAAUGAGUCAAUCACAUUCUCAGCAUACGAGAUUUGAACUCAAAAAGAGAGUAAAAGAAAGGACUUGCCCACCAGAGUUGCAACUAUAGUUAUCCCGUCCAAGAAACAAACCAGUUACAUUCAACAACACAUAUGUUAACUCAAAAGAGAAAUAUUAUAAAAUUAAGAAAUGGGUCAAUCACAUUCUCAGUAUCUGAGAUUUAAAAUUAAAAAAGAAAGAAAAAUAAUUUGUCCACCAUGGAUAUAAAUACAGUUGCCUCAUCAAGAAAUGGGUCAAUCACAUUCUCAACAUAUGAUAUAUAAAAUUAAAAUAGAGGAUUUUCCCACCAUGGUUGCAACUAAAGUUGCUCCCCAAGAAACGAGUCAAUAACAUUUUUAGCAAUCGAGAUUUGAACUCAAAAGGUUUUGCCUACCCUGGAUCCAACUAUAGUUACCCCGCUAAGAAACAGAUCAAUCACAUUCUUACCAUUCAAGAUUUGAACUUAAAGACAGAGAAAGAGAGAGAAAAAGGUUGCCCUUUAUGGCUGCAACUACAGUUACCUCUGCCAAGAAACAAAUUAAUUACAUUCUCAAUAUUUCAUAUGUGAACUCAAAAGAGAAAAAUUUAAACAUUAAGAAAUUGGUCAAUCACAUUCUCAGCAUCUGAGAUUUAAAAUUAAAAGAGAAAAGAGAAAGGAUUUGCCUUCAAUGGUUGAACCAACAGUUGCCAAACCAAGAAAUGGGUCAAUCACAUUUUUUCAGUAUAUGAGAUUUAAAAUUAAAAGAUAUGAUUUUUUCACCAUAGCUGCAACUACAGUUGCCCCGACAAGAAAUGGGUCAAUCACAUUUUUGGAUUUUUAGAUUCAAACGCAAAAGAGAGAAACAAAAAUGAUUUGCCUACCAAGGCUGCAACUAUAGUUACCCUACCAAGAAAGAGAUCAAUCACAUUCUUAACAUCUCAUAUGUGAAUUCAAAAGAGAAAUUUUGUUAACAUCAAGAAACGGAUCAAUCACAUUCUCAACAUAUGAGAUUUAAAAUCAAAAGAGAAAAAGAUUGGAUUGGCCGACCACGGCUGCAACUACCGUUGCCCUUCCAAGAAAUAGGUCAAUCACAUUCUCAGUAUUUGAAUUUUAAACUGAAAAGAGAAAAAGAUAAAGGAAAUAUUGCAACUAUAGUUGCCCUGCCAAGAAACAGAUCAAUCACAUUUACAAAAUCUCAUAUGUGAACUCAAAAGAGAAAUAUUGCAACAUUAAGAAUCGAACCAACCAUUUUCUCAGCAUCUGAAAUUUAAAAUUAAUAAACAAAGAGAAAUGAAUUAACCAUCAUGGAUGCAACUACAGUUGCUCCACCUAAAAACAGGUCAAUCAAAUGUGAACUCAAAACAUAUCAUAUGUAAACUCAAAAGAGUAAUAUUAGAACAUCAAGAAAUGGGCCAAUCACAAUCUAAGCAUCUGAUAUUUACAAAUAAAAGAGAAGAGAGAAUUUGUCCACCAUGGCUGUAGCUACAGUUACCCCGCCACAAAACAGGUCAAUCACAUUCUCAGCAUCCGAGAUUUGAACUGAAAAAAAAGGGAGAGAAAGGAUUAGCCCAUUGUCGCUUCAACUACAAUUGCCUUACCUAGAAAUGGAUCAACCACAUUCUCAACAUACAAGACUUGAACUAAAAAAAAAAGAGAAAGGAUUUCCCAACAUUUUUGCAACUAUAGUUACCUCAGCCAAGAAACAGAUCAAUCACAUUCUCAACAUUACAUAUAUUAACUCAAAAGAGAAUAACAUCAAAAAAUGGGUCAAUCACAUUCUCGACAUCUGAGAUUUAAAAUUAAAAGAGAAAGACAAAAAAUUUGUCCACCAUGGUUGCAACUAUAGUUACCCGCCAAGAAACGGGUAAAUCACAUUUUCAGAAUCUGAGAUUUAAAAAUAAAAGAGAAAGACAAAAAAUUUGCCCACCAUGGUUGCAACUAUAGUUACCCGCCAAGAAACGGGUCAAUCACAUUCUAAACAUAAGAGAUUUGAACUCAAAAGACGAGGAAAGAGAAACGAUUUAUCCACCAUGGCUUUAACUACAGUUACUCCGGCUAAGAAACAGAUCAAUCACAUUCUAAGUAUUUGAGAUUUAAACUUAAAAAGAACGAGAAAUGAUUUGCCCACCAUGGCUGCAAUUACAGUUGCCCUGCGAAAGAAAUAGAUCAAUCACUUUCUCAACAUCUCAUAUGUGAAUUCAAAAGAGAAAUAUUUUAACUUUAAUAAACAAGUCAAUCACAUUUUCAGCAUCUGAGAUUUAAAAUUAAAAAAAGAGAUAAAAGGGAUUUGACCACCACGGCGGCAACUACAAUUGUCGCGCCAAGAAACGGGUCAAACACAUUAUCAGCAUCCGAGACUUAAACUCAAAAAGAGAAAGAGAAAGGAUUUGCCUAUCAUGGCUGCAACUAUAGUUACCCUGUCCAAGAAACAAAUCAAUCACAUUCUUAACAUCUUAUAUGUGAAAUUAAAAGAGAAAUACUAUAACAUCAAGAAAUGGGUCAAUUAUAUUUUCAAAAUCUAAGAUUUUAAAUUAAAAGAGAAAGAUAAAGGAUUUUCUCACAACGGCUACAACUAUAGUUUUCUCGCCAAAAAAUGGGUCAAUCACAUUUUCUCAGUAUAUGAGAUUUAAAAUUAAAGAGUGGAUUUUCCUACCAUGGGUCAAUCACAUUUUUAGCAUUCCAAUUUUAAACUCCUAAAAGAGAGAAAGAGAGGAUUUGCCUACCAUGGUAGCAACUAUAGUUACCCUGCCAAGAAAUAGAUCAAUCACAUUCUUAGCAUUGGAGAUUUAAACUUAAAUAGAGAGUGAAAGAAAAAGGAUUUGCCCACCAUGGCUGCAACUAUAGUUGCCUUGCCAAGAGAUGGGUCAAUCACAUUACUAGCAUUUGAGAUUUAAACUCAAAAGAGAAAUAAAUAAAAAGGAUUUUCCCAUCAUGGCUGCAACUAUAGUUGCCCCGCCAAGAAAUGGGUCAAUCACAUUUUCUCAAUGAGAUUUAAAAUUAAAAGAGAGGAUUUUUCUGCCAUGGCUACAACUACAGUUGUCCAUCCAAGAAACAGGUCAAUCACAUUCUUAGCAAUCGAAUUUUAAACUCCAAACAGAGAGAAAGAGAGAAUUUGCCUACCAUUGGUGCAACUAUAGUUACCCCGCCAAGAGCUAGAUCAAUCGCAUUCUUAGCAUCGGAGAUUUAAACUUACAAAAAGAGUGAAAGAGAAAGGAUUUGCCCUCCAUGGUUGAACCAACAGUUGCCUAGCCAAGAAACAGGUCAAUUUUAUUUUCUCAAUGAGAUUUAAAAUUAAAAGAUAGGAUUUUUACACCAUGGCUACAAUUAUAGAUACCUUGCCAAGAAACGGGUCAAUCACAUUUUUUGAUUUCUAGAUUCGAAAUCAAAAGAGAGAAACAGAAAGGAUUUGCCUACUAAGGCUGCAACUAUAGUUACCCUAUCAAGAAAGAGAUCAAUCACAUUCUUAGCAUUUCAUAUUUAAACUCUAAAUUGAAAGAUAGAAAAAAGAUCAAUCACAUUCUCAACAUCUCAUAUGUGAACUCAAAAGAGAAAUUUUAUAACAUCAAGAAACGGAUCAAUCACAUUCUCAGCAUCAAAGAUUUAAAUUAAAAGAGAAAGAAAAAGGAUUUGCCUACAAUGGCUACAACUAUAAUUUCUUCGCCAAAAAAUAGGUCAAUCACAUUUUCACAGUGUAUGAGAUUUAAAAUUAAAAGAGAAGGAAAAAGGAAGGAUUUGCCCACCAAGGCUACAACUAUAAUUAACCCCGCCAAAAAACAGAUCAAUAACAUUUUAAACAUGUCAUAUAUGAACUCAAAAGAGAAAUAUUGUAACAAAAAGCAAUGGGUCAAUCUUAUUUUCUCAGUAUAUGAGAUUUAAAAUUAAAAUAGAGGAUUUUCCCUCCAUGGCUACAACAGUUGCUACUCCAAGAAACGAGUCAAUAACAUUCUUAGAAUUCGAAUUUUAAACUCCAAAAAGAGAGAAAUAGAGGAUUUGCCUACCAUAGAUGCAACUAUAGUUAUCCCACCAAGAAAUACAUCAAUCACAUUUUAGCAUUGGAAAUUUAAACUUAAAGCGAGAGAAAGAAUAAGGAUUUGCCCACCAUGGCUGCAAUUAUAGUUGCCUCGCAAAGAGACGAGUCAAUCACAUUCUUAGGUGAUGUUUGUUAACUGUUUAAAUUUUAUUUUUCUAUUUACUUUUUAUUUUUUGAAAUAAACGUAAACAAAAACUUGUUUGUGUUGAUAUCUAUUUUUGUAAACAAGACAAAAUUGUUUCCACUAUUUUUGAAAAUAGUGAAAAUAACAAAAUUAUGUUUUUGUUUUGUUUACCACCACCACUACUGCCUCACCACCUCCACCAACUCCUCCUCACCAAGAAUUUGUCUACCAUGGAUGCAACUAUAGUUGCCUCCCCAAGAGAUGGGUCAUUCACAUUCGUAGUAAUUGAGAUUUAAAGUCAAAAGAGAGAGAAAGAGAAAGAAUUUUUCCAUUAUAGCUACAACUAAACGGGUCAAUUACAUUUCCUCAGUAUAUGAGAUUUAAAAUUAAAAAAGAGGAUUUUCUCACCAUGGCUGCAACAACAGUUGCCCCGCCAAGAAACGGGUCAAUCACAUUCUUAGCAUUUGAGAUUUUAAAUUGCAAUGAGAGAAAGAGAGGAUUUGCCAACCAUGGCUGCAACUAUAGCAACCCGCCAAGAAAUAGAUCAAUCACAUUCUUAGCAUUAGAGAUUUAAACUUAAAAAAAGAGUGAAAGGGAAAGGAUUUGACCACCACGGCUACAACUGUUACCCCCACAAAGAAAUAGAUCAAUAACACUAUCAACAUCUCGUAUGUUAACUUAAAAGAGAAAUAUUGUAACAUCAAUAAAUGGGUCAAUCACAUUCUUAGCAGCUAAAAUUUAAAAUCAAAAGAGAGAAAUGAUUUGCUUACCAGGGCGGCAACUACAGUUUCUCCACCAAGAAAUGGGUCAAUCCCAUUCUUAGCUUACGAAUUUAAAACUCCAAAGAGAGAGAAAGAGAGGAUUUUCCUACCACGACUGCAACUAUAGUUACCCAGCCAACAAAUAGAUCAAUCACAUUCUUAGCAUUAGAGAUUUAAACUUAAAAAAGAGAGAAAGAGAAAGGAUUUUCCACCAUGGCUGCAACUAUAGUUGUCUCGCCAAGAGAUGGGUCAAUCACAUUUUUAUCAUUUGAGAUUUAACUCAAAAGAGAGAAAGAACAAGGAUUUGCCCACCAUGUCUGCAACAAUAGUUGCCUCGCCAAGGAACGGGUCAAUCACAUUCUUAACAUUAGAAUUUUAAACUCCAAACAGAGAGAGAAAUAAAGGAUUUUCCUACCAUGGCUACAACUAUAGUAAUCCACCAAGAAAUAGAUCAAUCAUAAUAUUCUUAGCAUUGGAGAUUUAAACUUAAAAAUAGAGUGAAAGAGAAAGGAUUUGACUACCAUGCCUACAACUACUGUUACCCCUACAAAAAGAAAUAGCUCAAUAACACUCUCAACAUCUCGUAUAUUAACUUAAAAGAAAAAUAUUGUAACAUCAAUAAAUGGGUCAAUCACAUUCUCAGCAGAUGAAAUUUAAAAUCAAAAGAGAAAGAAAUGACUUGCUUACCAGGGCUACAACUACAGUAUCUCUGCCAAGAAAUGGGUCAAUCCCAUUCUUAGCUUACGAAUUUAAAACUCCAAAGAAAGAGAAAUAGAGGAUUUGACUACCCCAGCUGAAACUAUAGUUACCCGGCUAAAAAAUAGAUCAAUCACAAUCUUAGCAUUAGAGAUUUAAACUUAAAAAGAGAGAGAAAGAGAAAGGAUUUUCCCACCAUGGCUACAACUAUAGUUGUCUCGCUAAGAGAUGGGUCAAUCACAUUUUUAGCAUUUGAGAUUUAACUCAAAAGAGAGAGAGAAAGGAUUUGCCCACCAUGGCAACAACUAUAGUUGCCUCACCAAGGAACAGGUCAAUCACAUUCUUAACAUUAGAAUUUUAAACUCCAAAGAGAGAGAAAUAAAGGAUUUGCCUACCGUGAUUGCAACUAUAAAAAUCCACCAAGAAAUAGAUCAAUCACAUUCUUAGCAAUAGAGAUUUAAACUUAAAAAUAGAGUGAAAGAGAGAGGAUUUGACCACCAUGUCUACAACUACUGUUACCCCUACAAAAAGAAAUAGUUCAAUAACACUCUCAACAUCUCGUAUAUUAACUUAAAAGGAAAAUAUUGUAACAUCAAUAAAUGGGUCAAUCACAUUCUAAGCAGAUGAAAUUUAAAAUCAAAAGAGAAAGAAAUAAUUUGCUUACCAGGGCUGCAACUAAAGUUUCUCAGCCAAGAAAUAGGUCAAUCCAAUUCUUAGCUUAUGAAUUUAAAACUCCAAAGAGAAAGAAAGAGACGAUUUGACUACCACGGCUGCAACUAUAGUUACCCAGUCAAGAAAUAGAUCAAUCACAUUCUUAACAUUAGAGAUUUAAACUAAAAAGAGAGAAACAGAAAGGAUUUUCCCACCAUGGCUGCAACUACAGUUGUCUCGCCAAGAAACGGGUCGAUAACAUUUUUCUCAGUAAAUGAGAUUUAAAAUUAAAAGAGAGGAUUUUCCCGCCAUCGCUACAACUACAGUUGCUCCGCCAAGAAACGGAUCAGUCACAUUCUUAGCAAUCAAAUUUUAAACUCCAAAGAGAGAGAAAAAGAGGAUUUGCCUACCAUUGCAGCAACUAUAGUUACCCCGCCAAAAAAUAGAUGAAUCACAAUUUUAGCAUUGGGGAUUUAAACUUAAAAAGAAAGUGAAAGAGAAAGAAUUUGUCCACCAUGGAUGCAACUAAAGUUGCCUCCCCAAGAGAUGGGUCAUUCGCAUUCGUAGUAAUUGAGAUUUAAAGUCAAAAGAGAGAGAAAGAGAAAGGAUUUUCCCAUCAUAGCUACAACUAAACGGGUCAAUUACAUUUCCUCAGUAUAUGAGAUUUAAAAUUAAAAAAGAGGAUUUUCUCACCAUGGCUGCAACAACAGUUGCCCCGCCAAGAAAUGGGUCAAUCACAUUCUUAGCAUUUGAGAUUUUAAAUUGCAAUGAGAGAAAGAGAGGAUUUGCCUACCAUGGCUGCAACUAUAGCAACCCGCCAAGAAAUAAAUCAAUCGCAUUUUUAGCAUUAGAGAUUUAAACUUAAAAAAAGAGUGAAAGAGAAAGGAUUUGACCACCACGGAUACAACUGUUGUUACCCUCGCAAAGAAACAGAUCAAUAACAUUAUCAACAUCUUGUAUGUUAACUUAAAAGAGAAAUAUUGUAACAUCAAUAAAUGGGUCAUUCACAUUCUUAGCAGCUAAAAUUUAAAAUCAAAAGAAAAAGAAAUGAUUUGCUUACCAGGGCUGCAACUACAGUUUCUCCGCCAAGAAAUGGGUCAAUCCCAUUCUUAGCUUACGAAUUUAAAGCUCCAAAGAGAGAGAAAGAGAGGAUUUGCCUACCACGACUGCAACUAUAGUUACCCAGCCAAGAAAUAGAUCAAUCACAUUCUUAGCAUUAGAGAUUUAAACUUAAAAAGAGAGAAAGAGAAAAGAUUUUCCCACCAUGACUGCAACUAUAGUUGCCUUGCCAAGAGAUGGAUCAAUCACAUUUUUAUCAUUUGAGAUUUAACUCAAAAGAUAGAGAAAGAACAAGGAUUUGCCCACCAUGUCUGCAACAAUAGUUGUCUCGCCAAGGAACAGGUCAAUCACAUUCUUAACAUUAGAAUUUUAAACUCCAAACAAAGAGAGAAAUAAAGGAUUUUCCUACAAUGGCUACAACUAUAGUAAUCCACCAAGAAAUAGAUCAAUCAUAUUCUCAGCAUUGGAGAUUUAAACUUAAAAAUAAAGUGAAAGAGAAAGGAUUUGACUACCAUGUCUACAACUACUAUUACCCCUACAAAAACAAAUAGCUCAAUAACACUCAACAUCUCGUUUAUUAACUUAAAAGAGAAAUAUUGUAACAUCAAUAAAUGGGUCAAUCACAUUCUCAGCAGCUGAAAUUUAAAAUCAAAAGAGAAAGAAAUGAUUCGCUUACCAAGGUGCAACUAAAGUUUCUCAGCCAAGAAAUGGGUCAAUCCAAUUCUUAGCUUACGAAUUUAAAACUCCAAAGAGAGAGAGAGAGGAUUUGCCUACCACGGCUGCAACUAUAGUUACCCAGUCAAGAAAUAAAUCAAUCACAUUCUUAACAUUAGAGAUUUAAACUUAAAAAAAGAGAGAAAGAGAAAGGAUUUUCCCACCAUGGCUGCAACUACAGUUGCCUCGCCAAGAUACGGGUCGAUAAUAUUCUUUUUCUCAGUAAAUGAGAUUUAAAAUUAAAAGAAAGGAUUUUCCCGCCAAGAAACGGGUCAGUCACAUUCUUAGGAAUCAAAUGUUAAACUCCAAAGAGAGAUAAAGAAAGGAUUUGCCUACCAUUGCAGCAACUAUAGUUACCCUGCCAAAAAAAUAGAUGAAUCACAAUCUUAGCAAUAGGGAUUUAAACUUAAAAAGAGAGUGAAAGAGAAAGGAUUUGUCCACCAUGGAUGCAACUAUAGUUGCCUCGCGAAGAGAUGGGUCAUUCACAUUCGUAGUAUUUGAGAUUUAAAGUCAAAAGAGAGAGAAAGAGAACGGAUUUUCCCAUCAUAGUUAGAACUAAACGGGUCAAUUACAUUUUCUCAGUAUAUGAGAUUUAAAAUUAAAAAAGAAGAUUUUCUCACCAUGUCUGCAACAACAGUUGCCCCACCAAGAAACGGGUCAAUCACAUUCUUAGCAUUUGAGAUUUUAAAUUGCAAAGAGAGAAAUAGAGGAUUUGCUUACCAUGGCUGCAACUAUAGCAACCCGGCCAAGAAAUUGAUCAAUCACAUUCUUAGCAUUAGAGAUUUAAACUUAAAAAAAGAGUGAAAGAGAAAGGAUUUGACCACCACGGCUACAACUGUUGUUACCCCUGCAAAGAAACAGAUCAAUAACACUAUCAACAUCUCGUAUGUUAACUUAAAAGAGAAAUAUUGUAAUAUUAAUUAAUGGGUCAAUCAUAUUCUCAGCAUCCGACAUUUAAAAUUAAAUGAGAAAGGAAGUAUUUGCCCACCAGGGCUGGCAACUAAAGUUGCCCCGUCAAGAAAUGGGUCAAUAACAUUCUUAGCAUACGAGUUUUAAACCAAAAAAAAGAAGAGGAAAAGAGAAUGGAUUUGCCAAUCAGGGCUGCAACUACAGUUAACUCCGCCAAGAAACAAAUCAAUCAUAUUUUAAACAUAUCAUAUGUGAACUCAAUAAAUAAACAUUGUAACAUCAAGAAAAGGGACAAUCAAUAUCACAACAUUUGAGAUUUAAAAUAAACGAGAAAGAGAAACGAUUUGCCCACCAUGACUGCAACUAUAGUUAUUUUGCCAAGAGAUGGGUUAAUCACAUUCUUAGCAUUUGAGAUUUAAAUUCAAAAGAGAGAAAGAAAAAUGAAUUUCGCAUGGCUGCAACUACGGCCAAGAAGAAACGGGUCAAUCACAUACUCUGAAAAGUGAGGAUUUUGUCACCAUGGCUGCAGGCAACAGUUGCACCGCCAAGAAAUAGGUCAAUCACGUUCUUGACAUUCAAAUUUUAAAUUCCAAAGAGAGAGAAAGGAUUUGCCUACUAUCGCUGCAACUAUAGCAACCCGUCAAGAAAUAGAUCAAUCACAUUCUUAGCAUUGGAGAUUUAAAUUUCGAAAGAGAGUGAAAGAGAAAGGAUUUGACCACCACGACUACAACUAUUGUUAUCCCCCAAAGAAAUAGGUCAAUAACACCCUCAACAUCUUCUACGUUAACUUGAAAGAGAAAUAUUGUAACAUCUAUAAAUGAGUGAAUCACAUUCUCAGCAUUUGAUAUUUAAAAUUAAAAGAGAAAGAAAGAAUUUGCCCAUUAGGGUUGCAACUAAGUUGCCCAGCCAAGAAAUGGUCAAUCAGAUUCUAAGCUUACGAGUUUUAAAUAAAAAAAAGAAGAAGAAAAGAGAAAGGAUUUGCCCACCAGGGCUGCACCUAGAGUUAACCUCGUCAAGAAACAAAUCAAUCAAAUUUUAAACAUGUCAUAUGUGAACUUAGAAAAUAAAUAUUGUAAAAUCAAGAAAAAGGACAUUCAACAUCACAUCUGAGAUAUAAAAUAAGGAGAAAGAGAAACGAUUUGCCCACAUUGGUUGCAACUAUAGUUGUUUUGCCAAGAGACGGGUUAAUCACAUUCUUAGUAUUUGAGAUUUAAAUUCAAAAGAGAGAGAAAUAGAAAGGAUUUUCGCUUAGCUGCAACUACGGCCAAGAAACGGGUCAAUCACAUUUUCUCAGUAUAUGAGAUUUAAAAUUAAAAGAGAGGAUUUUGUCACCAUGGCUGCAGCAACAGUUGCACCGCCUAGAAAUAGGUCAAUCACGUUCUUGACAUUCAAAUUUUAAAUUCCAAAGAGAGAAAGAGAGGAUUUGCCUACUAUCGCUGCAACUAUAGCAACCCGCCAAGAAAUAGAUCAAUCACAUUCUUAGCAUUGGAGAUUUAAAUUUUGAAAGAGAGUGAAAGAGAAAGGAUUUGACCACCACGGCUGCAACUAUUGUUAUCCCCGCAAAGAAAUAGGUCAAUAACACCCUCAACAUCUCGUACGUUAACUUGAAAGAGAAAUAUUGUAACAUCAAUAAAUGAGUGAAUCACAUUCUCAGCAUCUGAUAUUUAAAAUUAAAAAGAGAAAGAAAGAAUUUGCCCACCAGGGCUGCAACUAAGUUGCCCCGCCAAGAAAUGGUCAAUCACAUUUUAAGCUUACGAGUUUUAAAUUAAAAAAAAAAAGAAGAAAAGAGAAAGAAUUUGCCCACCAGGGCUGCACCUACAGUUAACCUCGUAAAGAAACAAAUCAAUCAAAUUUUAAACAUGUCAUAUGUGAACUUAGAAAAUAAAUAUUGUAAAAUCAAGAAAAAUAAUAUUCAACAUCACAACAUCUGAGAUAUAAAAUAAAGGAGAAAGAGAAACGAUUUGCCCACAUUGGCUGCAACUAUAGUUGUUUCGCUAAGAGACGGGUUAAUCACAUUCUUAGUAUUUGAGAUUUGAACUCAAAAGAGAGAGAAAAAGAAAGGAUUUUCGCAUAGCUGCAACUACAGUUGCCCGGCCAAGAAACAAGUCAAUCACAUUUUCUCAGUAUAUGAGAUUUAAAAUUAAAAAAGAAGAUUUUCUCAACCAUGGCUGCAAACAACAGUUGCCCCACCAAGAAACGGGUCAAUCACAUUCUUAGCAUUGAGAUUUUUAAAUUGCAAUGAGAGGAGAAAGAGAGGAUUGCCAACCAUGGCUGCAACUAUAGCAACCCGCCAAGAAAUAGAUCAAUCACAUUUUUAGCAUUAGAGAUUUUAAAUUUAAAAAAAGAGCGAAAGAGAAAGGAUUUGACCACCACGGCUACAACUGUUGUUACCCUCACAAAGAAACAGAUCAAUAACACUAUCAACAUCUCGUAUGUAACUUAAAAGAGAAAUAUUGUAACAUCAAUAAAUGGGUCAAUCAAAUUCUUAGCAGCUAAAAUUUAAAAUCAAAAGAGAAAGAAAUGAUUUGCUUACCAGGGCUGCAACUACAGUUUUUCCGCCAAGAAAUGGGUCAAUCCCAUUCUUAGCUUACGAAUUUAAAACUCCAAAGAGAGAAAGAGAGGAUUUUCUCAUCACGGCUGCAAUAGUUGCACCGCCAAGAAAAAGUUCAAUCACAUUCUUGGCAUUCAAAUUUUAAAUUCCAAAGAGAGAAAGAGAGGAUAUGCCUACUAUGGCUGCACCUAUAGCAAUCCGCCAAGAAAUAGAUCGAUCAAAUUCUUAACAUUGGAGAUUUAAACUUCAAAAGAGAGUGAAAGAGAAAGGAUUUAACCACCACGGCUACAACUACUAUUACCCCUACAAAGAAACAAGUCAAUAACACUCUCAACAUCUCGUAUGUUAACUUGAAAGAUAAAUAUUGUAACAUCAAUAAAUGAGUGAAUCACAUUCUCAGCAUCUGAUAUUUAAAAUUGAAAGAGAAAGAAAGGAUUUGCCAACCAAGACUGCAACUAAAGUUGCCCCACCAAGAAAUGGUCAAUCACAUUCUAAGCUUACAAGUUUUAAACCAAAAACAAAAAGAAAGAAGAGAAAGAAUUUGCCCACCAGGGCUACAACUACAGUUAACCCCGCCAAGAAACAAAUCAAUCAAAUUUUAAACAUGUCAUAUGUGAACUCAGAAAAUAAAUAUUGUAACAUCAAGAAAAGGGACAUUCAACAUCACAACAUUUGAGAUAUAAAAUAAAGGAGAAAGAGAAACGAUUUGCCCACCAUAGCUGCAAUUAUAGUUGUUUCUCCAAGAGACAGGUUAAACACAUUCGUAGCAUUUGAGAUUUAAACUCAAAAGAAAGAGAAAGAGAAAGGUUUUUCGCAUGGCGGCAACUACAGUUCCCCGGCCAAGAAAUGUGUCAAUCACAUUCUUGACAUUCAAAUUUUAAAUUCCAAAGAGAGAAAGCGAGGAUUUGCGUAACAUGGCAGCAACUGCAACUAUAGCAACCCGCCAAGAAAUAGAUCAAUCACAUUCUUGGCAUUGGAGAUUUAAACUUAAAAAAUGAGUGAAAGAGAAAGGAUUUGAUCACCAUGGUUACAACUACUAUUACCCCGCAAAGAAACUGAUCAAUAACACUCUCAACAUCUCGUAUGUUAACUUAAAAGAGAAAUAUUGGAACAUCAAUAAAUGGGUUAAUCACAUUCUCAGCAUUUGAUAUUUAAAAUUAAAAGAGAAAGAAAGGAUUUGCCCACUAGGGCUGCAAGUAAAGUUGUCUCGCCAAGAAAUUGGUCAAUCACAUUCUUAGCUUACGAGUUUAAAACUUCAAAGAGAGAGAAAGAGAGGAUUUGCCUACCAUGACUACAACUAUAGUUAAUCAAUCGCAUUCUUAGCAUUACAUAUCUAAACUUAAAAAGAGAGAGAAAGGGAAAGGAUUCGCCUACCAUGGCUGCAACUAUAGUUGCCUCGCCAAUAGAUUGGUCAAUCACAUUCUUAGCAUUUGAGAUUUAACUAAAAAGAGAGUGAAAGAUAAAAGAUUUUCCCAUCAUUGUUGCAACUACAGUUGCCCCGCCAAGAAAUGGGUCAAUCACAUUUUCUCAAUAAAUGAGAUUUAAAAUUAAAAGAGAAAGAAAGGAUUUGCCCACCAGGGCUGCAACUAAAGUUGCCCCGCCAAGAAAUGAAUCAAUCAUAUUCUUAGCUUACAAGUUUAAAACUCCAAAGAGAGAGAAAGAGGAUUUGCCCAAUAUGGCUACAACUAUAGUUACUCCACCAAGAAAUACAUCAAAAGAGAGGACUUUCUCACCAAGGCUGCAACAACAGUUGCCCCACCAAGAAACAGGUCAAUCACAUUCUUGACAUUCGAAUUUUAAAUUUCGAAGGGAGAAAGAGUAGAUUUGCCUACCAUGGCUGCAACUAUAGCAACCCGCCAAGAAAUAAAUCAAUCACAUUCUUAGCAUUAGAAAUUUAACCUCAAAAGAGAGUGAAAGAGAAAGGAUUUGACCACCACGGCUACAACUACUAUUACCCCGCAAAGAAACAGAUCAAUAACACUCUCAACAUCUCGUAUGUUAACUUAAAAAAGAAAUAUUGUAAUAUCAGUAAAUGGGUAAAUCACAUUCUCAACAUCUGAGAUUUAAAAUUAAAAGAGAAAGAAAGGAUUUGCCCACCAGGGCUACAACUACAGUUUCAUCUCCAAGAGAUGGGUCAAUCACAUUUUUAGCUUACGAAUUUUAAACUCCAAAGAGAGAGAAAGAGAAGACUUGCUACAACUAUAGUUACCCUGCCAAGAAAUAGAUCAAUCACAUUCUUAGUAUUGGAGAUUUAAACUUACAAAAAGAUUGAAAGAGAAAAGGAUUUUCCAACCAUGGAUACAACUAUAAUUGUCCCACCAAAAAACGGGUCAAUCACAUUCUUAGCAUUCGAAUUUUAAACUCAAAAAAGAGGGAAAGAGAGGAUUUGCCUACCAUGGCUGCAACUAUAGUUGCACCGUCAACAAAUAGAUGAAUCACAUUCUUAGCAUUGAAGAUUUAAACUUAAAAAGAAAAUGAAAGAGAAAGAAUUUGCCCACCAUGGCUACAACUAUAGUUGUCUCGCCAAAAGACGGGUCAAUCACAUUCUUAGCAUUUGAGAUUUAAACUAAAAGAGAAAGAAAGAGAAAGGAUUUUCCCAUCACGACUACAACUACAGUUACUCCGCCAAGAAACAGAUCAAUCACAUUUUCUCAGUAUAUGAAAUUUAAAAUUAAAAGAGGAUUUUCCCACCAUGGUUAAAACUACAGUUGUCCCACCAAGAAAACGUGUCAAUCACAUUCUUAGUAUUCGAAUUCUAAACUCCAAAAAGAGAGAAAUAGAGGAUUUGCCUACCAUGGAUGCAACUAUAGUUACUCCGCCAACAAAUACAUCAAUCACAUUCUUAGAAUUGGAGAUUUAAACUUAAAAAGAGAGUGAAAUAGAAAGGAUUUGCCCACCAUGGCAGCAACCAAUGUUUUGAAACCUGGACCAUUGAGCAAAUCGAAAAAUAGACUGGAUCACUAGUUCAACCGUCGGGUCAACAAUAGUUGACCUGUAAUGUCAUAAUUAUAUCAUUAACUUAUUUAUUAAUAGUAGUAAAAUAUUUUUUAUUUUUCUACACUAGUUUUUAUACUUAAAACCUAAAAUUUUAAAAUAAAAACAUAAAACUUCCCUUAAAAUAGUGAACCGUCCGGUUCAAUGACUGGUUCAAUCGCCAGUUUUCCAGUUCAACCGCAGGUUUGACUGGGUUUUGACCAAAAUAGAUUUUUACGGCCGACUAGACCGUUUCUUUGACCGGUCAACAAUUCGACCGAUCGAAUCAGCUGAGUCAAUCCGGAUUUUAAAACAUUGGUAGCAACCCCGCCAAGACAUGGGUCAAUCACAUUCUUAGCAUUUGAGAUUUAAACUUAAAAGAGAGAGAAAGAUAAAGGAUUUUCCCAUGAUGGCUGCAACUACAGUUGCCUAGCCAAGAAACAAGUCAAUCACAUUUUUUCAGAUUUAAAAUUAAAAGAGAGGAUUUGCCUACCAUGGAUGCAACUACAGUUACUCCCCUAAGAAAUACAUCAAUUACAUUCUUAGAAUUGGAGAUUUAAACUUAAAAAGAGUAAAAUAAAAAGGAUUUGCCCACCGUAGCAACAACUAUAGCUGCCUUGCCAAGAUACGGGUCAAUUACAUUCUUAAAAGCAUUUGAGAUUUAAACUCAACAGAAAGAGGAAGAGAAAGGAUUUUCCCAUCAUGGCUACAAUUACAGUUACUCCGCUAAGAUACGGGUCAAUCACAUUUUCUCAGUAUAUGAGAUUUAAAAUUAAAAGUGAGGAUUUUCUCACCAUGGCUGCAACAAUAGUUGCCUCGCCAAGAAAUGGGUUAAUCACAUUCUUGACAUUCGAAUUUUAAAAUCCAAAGAGAGAGAAAUAGAGGAUUUGCCUACCAGGGAUGCAACUAUAGUUACUCCACCAAGAAAUACAUCAAUCACAUUCUUAGAAUUGGAGAUUUAAAUUUAAAAAGAAAGUGAAAUAGAAAGGAUUUGCCCACCAUGGCAGUAACUAUAGUUGCCUCGCCAAGAUACGGGUCAAUCACAUUCUUAGCAUUUGAUAUUUAAACUCAAAAGAAAGAGAAAGAGAAAGGAUUUUCCCAUCAUGGGUGCAACUACAGUUGCCCCGCUAAGUAACGGGUCAAUCACAUUUUCUCAGUAUAUGAGAUUUAAAAUUAAAAGAGAUGAUUUUGCCAACAUGGCUACAACUAAAGUUGCCUCGCCAAGAAACGGGUCACUCACAUUCUUGACAUUCGAAUUUGAUACUCCAAAGAAGGAGAAGGAAAGGAUUUGCCUACCAUGGCUGCAACUAUAGUAACCCGCCAAGAAAUAGAUCAAUCACAUUCAUAGCAUUGGAGAUUAAAACAUAAAUAGAGAGUGAAAGAGAGGAUUUGCUCACCAUGGCUUCAACUAUAGUUGUCUCGCCAAGACAUGAGUCAAAUCACAUUCUUAACAUCAAAAUUUUAAACUCCAAAGAAAGAGAAAGGAUUUUCCCAAUAUGGUUGCAACUACAGUUAUCCCGCCAAGAAAUGGGUCAGCCACAUUUUCUCAGUAUAUGAGAUUUAUAAUUAAAGAAUGGGAUUUUCCAACCAUGGAUACAACUACGGUUGUCCCGCCAAAAAACGGGUCAAUCACAUUCUUAGCAUUUGAAUUUUAAACUCAAAAAAGAGAGAAAGAGAGGAUUUGCCUACCAUGACUACAACUAUAGUUACACCACCAAACAAAUAGAUGAAUCACAUUCUUAACAUUGGAGAUUUAAACUUAAAAAGAGAUUGAAAGAGAGAGAAUUUGACCACCAUGGCUGCAACUAUAGUUGCCUCGCUAAGAGACGGGUCAAUCACAUUCUUAGCAUUUGACAUUUAAACUAAAAAGAGAGAGAAAUAGAAAUGAUUUUCCAUCACGACUACAAUUACAAUUGCUCCGUCAAGAAAUGGAUCAAUCACAUUUUGCGACCAUGGUUAAAACUACAGUUGUCCCACCAAGAAAACGUGUCAAUCACAUUCUUAAUAUUCGAAUUUUAAACUCCUAAAAGAGAGGGGGGAUUUGCCUACCAUGGAUGCAACUAUAGUUACUCCACCAAGAAAUACAUUAAUCACAUUCUUAGAAUUGGAGAUUUAAACUUAAAAAGAGAGUGAAAUAGAAACGACUUGCCUACCAUGGAUGCAAUUAUAGUUGCCUCGCCAAGAUACGGGUCAAUCACAUUCUUAGCAUUCAAGAUUUAAACUCAAAAGAGAGAGAAAGGGAAAGGAUUUUCCCAUCAUGGCAACAAAUACAGUUGCCCAGCCAAGAAACGGGUCAAUCACAUUUUCUCAGUAUAUGAGAUUCAAAAUUAAAAGAAAGGAUUUUGCGACCAUGGCUACAACUAUAAUUGCCCCGACAAGAAACGGGUCAACCACAUUCUUAGCAAUUGAAUUUUAAAUGAAAGAGAGAGAAAGAGAGGAUUUGCCUACCAUGGCUAUUACUAUAGUUACCCCACCAAGAAAUAGAUCAAUCACAUUCUUAGCAUUGGAGAUUUAAACUUAGAAAGAGAGUAAAAGAGAAAGGAUUUACCCACCAGCUGCAACUAUAGUUGCCUUGCCAAGAGACGAGUCAAUCACAUCCUCAGCAUUUGAGAUUUAAACUCAACAGAAAAACAAAGAGAAAUGAUUUUCCAAUCGUGGCUGCAACUACAGUUGCCCCGCCAAGAAGCAGGUCAAUCACAUUCUUAGCAUUGGAGAUUUAAACUUAAAAAGUGACUGAAAGAGAAAGAAUUUGACCACCAUGACUGCAACUACUAUUACCCCGCAAAGAAACAGAUCAAUAACACUCAUCAUCUCGUAUGUUAACUUAUAAGAGAAUUAUCGUAAUAUCAAUAAAUGGGUCAAUCACAUUCUCAUCAUCUAAUAUUUAAAAUUGAAAGAGAAAGAAAGGAUUUGCCCACCAGGGCUGCAACUACAAUUGCCUAGCCAAGAAAUAAGUCAAUCACAUUCUUAACUGACGAGUUUUAAAUUUAAAAGAGAGGGAGAGAGAGGAUUUGCCCACCAUGGCUACAACUACAAUUAACCGAGCCAAGAAACAGAUCAAUCACAUUUUAAACAUGUCAUAUGUGAACUCAAAAGAGAAAUAUUGUAACAUCAAGAAACCGGACAAUCAACAUCACAGCAUCUGAGAUUUAAAAUAAAAGAGAAAGAGAAAGGAUUUGUCUUCCAUGGCUGCAACUAUAAUUGUCUCGCCAAGAGGCGGGUCAAUCACAUUCUUAGCAUUUGAGAUUUAAACUCAAAAAAUAGGGAAAGAGAAAAGAUUUGCCCACCAUGAUUGUAACUACAGUUAACCCCGGCAAGAAACAGACCAAUCACAUUUUAAGCAUGUCAUAUGUGAACUACAAAGAGAAAUAUUGUAACAUCAAGAAACGGGAUAAUCAACAUCACAGCAUCUGAGAAUUAAAAUAAAGAAGAGAAAGGAUUUGCCCAACAAGCUUGCAACUAUAGUUGCCACACCAAGAGACGAGUCAAUCACAUUCUUAGCAUUUGAGAUUUAAACCCAAAAGAGAGAGAAAGAGAAAGGAUUUUCACAUCAUGGUUUCAACUAUAGUUACCCCGCCAAGAAAUAGAUCAAUCACAUUCUUAGCAUUGUAGAUUUAAACUAACAAAGAGAGUGAAAGACAGGAUUUGCCCUCCAUGGUUGAACCAAUAGUUGCCUAACCAAAGAAACAGGUCAAUCACAUUUUCUCAGUUAUGAGAUUUGAAAUAAAAAGAUAGGAUUUUUCAACCAUAGAUACAACUACAGUUGUCCCGCCAAGAAACGAGUCAAUCACAUUCUUAGCAUUCGAAUUUUAAACUCAAAAAAGAGAGAAAUAGAGGAUUUGCCUACCAUGACUACAACUAUAGUUACACCGCCAAACAAAUAGAUGAAUCACAUUCUUAACAUUGGAGAUUUAAACUUAAAAAGAGAUUGAAAUAGAAAGAAUUUGACCACUGUGGCUGCAACUAUAGUUGCCUCGCCAAGAGACGGGUCAAUCACAUUUUUAGCAUUUGACAUUUAAACUAAAAAGAGAGAGAAAUAGAAAGGAUUUUCCAUCACGACUACAAUUACAGUUGCUCCGCCAAGAAACAUUUAAAAUUAAAAGAGGAAGAGAAAAGAUUUGCCCACCAUAUCUACAACUACAGUUAUCCCGCCACAAAAUAGGUCAAUCACAUUCUUAGCAUCUAAGAUUUGAACUAAAAAAAAGGGAGAAAGUUAAAGGAUUAGCCCAUCAUGGCUGCAACUAUAAUUUCCCCGCCUAGAAACGAGCCAAUCACAUUCUCAGCAUACGAGAUUUGAACUCAAAAGAGAGAAAAAGCAAGAAUUUGUCCACCAUAGUUGCAAAUAUAGUACCCCCUCUAAGAAACAAAUCAAUCACAUUCAACAACACAUGUUAGCUCAAAAGAGAAAAUAUUAUAACAUCAAGAAACGAGUCAAUCACAUUCUCAGUAUCUAAAAUUUAAAAUUAAAAGAGAGAGAAAAAAGAUUUAUCCACCAUGUCUAUAAAUACAAUUGCCUCGCCAAGAAAUAGGUCAAUCACAUUCUCAGCAUAUAAGAUAUAAAACUAAAAUACAAGAUUUUCCCACCAUGGUUGCAACUAAAGUUGCCUAGCCAAGAAACGAGUCAAUCACAUUUUUAGCAAUCGAGAUUUGAACUCAAAAAAGAGAGAGAAACAAAAGGUUUUGCCUACCCUAUCUCCAACUAUAGUUACCCCGCCAAGAAACAUAUCAAACACAUUCUUAGCAUUCGAGAUUUGAACUUAAAGAUAGAGAGAAAAAGUUUUGCCCUUUAUGGCUGCAACUACAGUUACUAUUGCCAAGAUACAGAUCAAUCACAUUCUCAACAUUUCAUAUGUGAACUCAAAAGAGAAAUUUAAACAUUAAGAAAUUGGCCAAUCACAUUUUCAGCAUCUGAGAUUUAAAAUUAAAAGAGAAAAGAGAAAAGAUUUGCCCUCCAUGGUUAAACCAACAGUUGCCUGACCAAGAAAUGGGUCAAUCAAAUUUUCUUAAUAUAGGAGAUUUAAAUUUAAAAGAGGAUUUUCCCACCAUGGCUGUAACUACAGUUGCCCCGCCAAAAAACGAGACGAUCACAUUUUCUGGUUUCUAGAUGCAAACUUAAAAGAGAGAGAAAGAAAGGGUUUGCCUACCAAGACUGCAACUAUAGUUACCAUGCCAAGAGAGAUCAAUCACAUUCUUCACAUUCGAGAUUUGAACUCUAAAACGAAAGAUAAAAAAAGGGUUGCCCACCACGAUUGCAACUACAGUUACCCUUGCUAAGAAAAAAUAUCAAUCACAUUCUCAACAUCUCAUAUGUGAACUCAAAAAAAAAUUUUUGUAACAUUAAGAAACGAAUCGAUCACAUUCUCAACAUCUGUGAUUUAAAAUCAAAAGAGAAAGAGAAUGGAUUGGCUGACCAUAGCUGCAACUACAGUUGCCCCGCCAAGAAACGAGUCAAUCACAUUCUCAGCAUUCGAACUUUAAACUGAAAAGAGAAAAAGAUAAAGGAUUUGCCCACCAUGGCUGCAACUAUAUUUGUCCCGCCAAGAAACAGAUCAAUCACAUUCUCAAAAUCUCAUGUGAACUCAAAAAAAAAAACAUUGCAAAAUUAAGAAUCGGACAGACAAAUCAUUUUCUCAAAAUUAAGAAUUGGACAAAAUCUCAUAUGUAAACUCAAAAGAGCGAUAUUGGAACAUCAAGAAACGGGCCAAUCACAAUCUCAGCAUCUGAUAUUUACAAAUAAAAGAAAAAGAGAAAGGAUUGGUCCACCAUGGCUGCAACUAUAGUUGCCUCGCCAAGAGACAAGUCAAUCACAUUCUUAGCAUUUGAGAUUUAAACUUAAAAGAGAGUGAAAAAGAAAGGAUUAGCCCACCAUGGAUGCAACUAUUGUUGCCCCCACAAAAAAACAAAUCAAUCACAUUCUCAACCUCUCAUAUGUGACCUCAAAAGAGAUAUUGUAACAUUAAGAAAUGGGUCAAUCACAUUCUCAGCAUCUGAAAUUUAAAAUUAAAAAAGAACGAGAAAUGAUUUGCCUACCAUGGCUGCAACUACAGUUGCCCCGCCAAGAACAAAUCAAUCACUUUCUCAACAACUCAUAUGUAAACUCAAUAGAGAAAUAUUUUAACUUUAAUAAACAAGUCAAUCACAUUUUCAGCAUCUAAGAUUUUAAAUUAAAAAAGAUAUUAAAGGGAUUUGACAACCAUGACGGCAACUACAAUUGUCGUGCCAAGAAACAGGUCAAACACAUUCUCAGCAUUCAAGAUUUGAACUCAAAAAAGAGAAAAAAUUUGUCCAUCAUGGCUGCAACUAUAGUUACCUCGCCAAGAAACAGAUCAAUCACAUUCUCAAUAUCUCAUAUGUGAAAUCAAAAGAGAAAUACUUUAACAUCAAGAAAUGGGUCAAUCACAUUCUCAAAAUCUGAGAUUUUAAAUUAAAAAAAAAAAUAGAAAGGAUUUUCCCAUAAUGGCUACAACUAUAGUUUCCUCACCAAAAAAAUAGGACAAUCACAUUCUUAACAUUUGAGAUUUAAACUAAAAAUUGAGAGAAACAAUUUGUCCACCCUGGCUGCAACUAUAGUUGCCCUGCCAAGAAAAGGGUCCAUCACAUUCUAAGCAUUCGAUAUUUAAACUCAAAAGAUAGAGAAAGAAAAAGGAUUUUCCCACAAUGGCUACAACUAUAGUUGCUUCGCCAAAAAACGGGUAAAUCACAUGCUCAAUAUAUGAGAUUUAAAAUUAAAAAAGAGAAUUUUCCCACCAUGGCUGCAA